Molecule: small nuclear RNA, 137 nt
Filed under: Carlito syrichta (Philippine tarsier)
Lineage: Eukaryota; Metazoa; Chordata; Mammalia; Primates; Tarsiidae
Description: U12 minor spliceosomal RNA (ENSTSYG00000032758.1)
Source: RNAcentral
UUGUAUGGCAAUAAAAAACUAACUCAAAACUGAACAUAGAGUAAAAUUCAUCAAAAUUUAAAAUAUUUUGGGGGUAAAGGUUGCCCCUAAGGUGACCCACCUACUUUGCAGGAUGCCUGGGAGUUUCAGUCUGCCCA